UACGGAGGGUGCAAGCGUUAUCCGGAUUCACUGGGUUUAAAGGGUGCGUAGGUGGGCUAGUAAGUCCGUGGUGAAAUCUCCAAGCUUAACUUGGAAACUGCCGUGGAUACUAUUAGUCUUGAAUAUUGUGGAGGUAAGCGGAAUAUGUCAUGUAGCGGUGAAAUGCGUAGAUAUCUGGAGGAACACCGGUGGCGAAGGCGGCAUCCUGGACCGACACUGACACUGAGGAGCGAAAGCCAGGGGAGCAAACGGG
RNAcentral lists this ribosomal RNA (253 nucleotides) under uncultured bacterium. RNAcentral's name for it is "partial 16S ribosomal RNA". It matches the Rfam family "Bacterial small subunit ribosomal RNA", at positions 524 to 776 of the family's 1533-position model. The record is from RNAcentral.